CCUACGGGAGGCUGCAGUGAGGAAUAUUGGUCAAUGGGCGCGAGCCUGAACCAGCCAAGCAGCGUGAGGGAUGAAGGUCCUAUGGAUCGUAAACCUCUUUUAUAAGGGAAUAAAGUGUGGGACGUGUCCUGUUUUGUGUGUACCUUAUGAAUAAGGAUCGGCUAACUCCGUGCCAGCAGCCGCGGUAAUACGGAGGAUCCGAGCGUUAUCCGGAUUUAUUGGGUUUAAAGGGUGCGUAGGCGGCCUGUUAAGUCAGCGGUUAAAGUCUGUGGCUGAACCAUAGAAGUGCCGUUGAAACUGGGAGGCUUGAGUAUGUUUGAGGUAGGCGGAAUGCGUGGUGUAGCGGUGAAAUGCUUAGAUAUCACGCAGAACCCCGAUUGCGAAGGCAGCCUGCCAAGCCAUGACUGACGCUGAUGCACGAAAGCGUGGGGAUCAAACAGGAUUAGAUACCCUGGUAGUC
RNAcentral lists this ribosomal RNA (460 nucleotides) under uncultured bacterium. Its description in RNAcentral is "partial 16S ribosomal RNA". It matches the Rfam family "Bacterial small subunit ribosomal RNA", at positions 338 to 795 of the family's 1533-position model. The record is from RNAcentral.